This 486-nucleotide ribosomal RNA is filed under the name uncultured bacterium. Its description in RNAcentral is "partial 16S ribosomal RNA". It matches the Rfam family "Bacterial small subunit ribosomal RNA", at positions 30 to 507 of the family's 1533-position model. The record is from RNAcentral.
AUUGAACGCUGGCGGCAUGCCUUACACAUGCAAGUCGAACGGCAGCACGGGUGCUUGCACCUGGUGGCGAGUGGCGAACGGGUGAGUAAUACAUCGGAACAUGUCCUGUAGUGGGGGAUAGCCCGGCGAAAGCCGGAUUAAUACCGCAUACGAUCUACGGAGGAAAGCGGGGGACCUUCGGGCCUCGCGCUAUAGGGUUGGCCGAUGGCUGAUUAGCUAGUUGGUGGGGUAAAGGCCUACCAAGGCGACGAUCAGUAGCUGGUCUGAGAGGACGACCAGCCACACUGGGACUGAGACACGGCCCAGACUCCUACGGGAGGCAGCAGUGGGGAAUUUUGGACAAUGGGCGAAAGCCUGAUCCAGCCAUGCCGCGUGUGUGAAGAAGGCCUUCGGGUUGUAAAGCACUUUUGUCCGGAAAGAAAUCCUUGGCCCUAAUACGGUCGGGGGAUGACGGUACCGGCAGAAUAAGCACCAGCUAACUACGUG